This 284-nucleotide unclassified non-coding RNA is filed under the name uncultured fungus. RNAcentral describes it as "sequence contains ITS2". The record is from RNAcentral. Lineage: Eukaryota; Fungi.
AACGCAUCUUGCGCCUUUUGGUAUUCCGAAAGGCACACUUGUUUGAGUGUUGUGAAGUACUCGAGUCCUUCUUUUUGUCAUUAAACGGAGGAAAUCGGAUUAUGAGUGUUGCUGUCUUACAGCUCGCUUGAAAUGCAUUAGUCCCUUUAAUGUGGUCGGAUUGACUUGGUGUAAUAAGACUUUCACCAAAGGAUGCUUUCUAGCAGCCGGCUUUUAAAGGUACUGCCAAAAUGUUAAAACCUUUUUUAGACCUCAAAUCAAGUGGGACUACCCGCUGAACUUAA